This 1426-nucleotide long non-coding RNA is filed under the name Sus scrofa (pig). Its description in RNAcentral is "lncRNA (ENSSSCG00070023263.1)". The record is from RNAcentral. Lineage: Eukaryota; Metazoa; Chordata; Mammalia; Artiodactyla; Suidae.
UCCACAGAAAAAAAACUCAUGAACUUGGAGAACAGACUUGUGGUUGCCCAGGGGGAGGAGGAGGGAACGGGAUGGACUGCGAAUCUGGGGUUAAUAGAUGCAAACUAUUACCUUUGGAAAGAAUUAGCAAUGAGCUCCUGCUGUAUAGCACUGGGAACUAUAUCUAGUCAUUUAUGAUGGAGCAUGAUGGAGGAUAAUGUGAGAAAAAGAAUUAUAUAAGUAUGUUUGAUUGGGUCACUUUGCUGUACAGUAGGAAAUUGACAGAACACUGUAAACCAACUAUAAUGGAAAAAAUAAAAAUCAUUAAAAAAGAAAAGAUUAGAUAUAUCUGUUGGAGGUAUCCAGCGAUCUGCCUUCUAAUUUUUCCUGACCCAUGAUUAGACAUGCUUUUAUUAUGUGCCAUUGACACUCAAUGAUUAUUCCAUCCAUGAUUUAGGAUUAGUGUGUCUGAUACUUAAUGAGGGUGGGCUUUUUAUGAUACAAGGCAGAGAAUUUCAUAAAUUAUUUUAAAGUUUUCGAUGAGUAUGGUAAGAUAGAGAUGAUGGUUCCAAAAACUCUUGGAGAGAAACACAGUUUGUUCGUAUCUCUGUCCAUAUGUAUGUCUUGGCUAAAUUCUCCCUCCCCAACUGUGCCGAAGACCUGGAAUAGACAGAAGAGAGCUGUGAAAACCUGGAAAGUACUGCUUUGGGAUUUUCUUAACAUUGAGAAAAUGGAGGAGUCCUUGUUACUAACAGAAAAUUCAACUCUAUAGAUCAAGAUCAGUUUUUGGAAAUCAGAAGCAAGCAAAUAGAGAAGGAGGAAGAGAGAGAGAGAAGAUAACAACUUUCAUAGUGUGGGGAAAAUUUCACUAGUGCCACCAUUAAGCACAGUCCCGGGGAAAGCAGGAGAAAAGAGAUAGAGUCAGUUUCACCUCCAGUUCCUGUGAUGCCUCAUGGAGUGUGAGCCUCUUGCUGUGUUGAAUAGGAUUCUAGGGUGUAAAGGUAUGCAUUUUUCAUGUAACAUGGUCUCUGAGGAGCCAACCACUUUAUUUGGUACAGUCAUCUAUCCUAGAUCUGGACAUGGCAUGUCCCUACCACCAUCAAGCCUUUCUAACAGGAUUUAGGAGUAAUUUUAACUUUACAUAAUUUUGCUUCAUAUCCUGACUUUUGAACUCUACUGCCACACGAGAUAGUCAACUCCACAGUAAUCUGACAGCACUAUGGUACAAAGAACAGGUCAUAUUUCUGAUAGGGUAACUAAAUUUAUGUUUUCAAAAGGUAAUAGAAGAAGUAGAUGAUUUUAAGUAGAGCCACAAAGAUAGUUAAUACAUAUAAAAGAUGAAUAUCUAAGAAGGAUUUAAUCAUUAUAAUUAUUCCUUCUGUUGUGGCAAUGAAGGUUAGAUGGAUGUCUCAAUAAAGGUCUUUAAACAGAUUUUGAUUUCUUUUAC